CGUGUAGGCGGAGAAGCAAGUCAGAAGUGAAAUCCAUGGGCUUAACCCAUGAACUGCUUUUGAAACUGUUUCCCUUGAGUAUCGGAGAGGCAGGCGGAAUUCCUAGUGUAGCGGUGAAAUGCGUAGAUAUUAGGAGGAACACCAGUGGCGAAGGCGGCCUGCUGGACGACAACUGACGCUGAGGCGCGAAAGUGUGGGUAGCAAACA
RNAcentral lists this ribosomal RNA (207 nucleotides) under uncultured bacterium. RNAcentral describes it as "partial 16S ribosomal RNA". It matches the Rfam family "Bacterial small subunit ribosomal RNA", at positions 568 to 774 of the family's 1533-position model. The record is from RNAcentral.